AAGACAUUCGGUGCUUUCCUUCUUGUGAGUCUCCUUGUCAUUUCAUUAGAGAUACCUCUUGCAUCUGGUACAAGAAUCCCUAGAGGGAAACCAGGACUCUGUCCAUUUGUUGCUGGAAGAUGCCGGAUGCUUAAUCCACCUGACAAAUGUCAUUCUGACUUUGAAUGCCCAAAUGAACUAAAAUGCUGUGAAGGGAUCUGUGGGAGAGACUGCGUCAAACCAAUAUUUGUAUAAUUUUUACUCCUCUGAUGGAAAUCCAGCACUGACAAGAAUGCCCUGCACCAGUACUUACCAUGGUAUCUGGUGUGUGCGACCAGUGAUUUUUCUUCUAAUUAGCCAGGGACAGGUAUUUAUGCCCUGGGCUACCAUUUUUCUUCCUUCCUGCAAACUUAUCACAGACCUGCAGCUGAUGGUUUUCAGACCAGCACUGGCUCAUGGAUCACCACUUUGAGCAGCACUGCUCUAUACUAUGUUGUUUCACUGGUGACAUUUAUGAGACUGUAUGUCAAAUGCUCAUCACGUUUCUUGGAAGAAAAUUAAUCCUGAAUCACUCAUUGGACUGCCUCUCCUGAAAUAAUAAAUUCAUCCUGAGAUCACCAUUCAUUGAUUAAUAUUAAUUAACAACAUGCUACAGUGUAGGGCCUCUUCUAUGCUAUUAUAUCUAUGAUCAUGCUUAUGACUGGGAGACCACAGCCCAUGUAUCUAAUGUGUAGGAGAAACUCUAGCAAGUGAAUGGGUGAUCUGAACCUGGGAACAACAUAUUCAAACCAAAACUUGUGGAAGAAUGAGUCACUAUUUGAAGGAAUGCCUUCUGAUUAUUUUGAAACCUUAGUCUUGGGGUGGGGGAGCAAAGAUGAAUUGUGCAUUCAAAUUGUGAGAUACCAAGUAAAUAGUCAUUAUCUUUCAUGUUUAUUCUUACGAUAACACUAUAAUGAUACACAUUGCAGAGGGUAUCAUGUAGCCCUUGACAUAUUGUUGAACUGCAAUUGCCAGGCUCACAGGCCUAGCCAGUUGAGCCUAUUGUGUGGAAUACUGGUAAUUGUAGUCCAACAAUAUCUGGGAGCCUGUGUGGUUCUCACUAUAAACAAUGAAAACAGCCUAAUAUUCAAAACAGAACUGAGCCCAAACAAAUAUUUUUAACAAAUCCUGUAAAUUUAUUUAAUAUUUCCUUUUUGAGGCCUAUUAUUGGGGUCAUUUUUGAAACAGCAUUGAUUUUCAUUUUCAUGUUUGGGUUUCUGCCGAAACAUAAAAAUAUCCCAUUCAUUAGGUGCACAUAUUAUGCCAUCUUCUACCUGUGUCUAAUGUGGUUUAAGUAGCAUAAGCUGAUGAUUUGACAUCAUGCAAUAUAAUUCUUUGUCUUAUAUAAUGUCACAUUAUAUGGCACUACUGGAUGUGGGAUCAUGUUCAAGAAAGUCAUUACAAAAAGUGAAGUCAGCAAUGGCAGCAGCAGGUUUUCUAAUGAUAGUGAGAAUGACUGUUCAAUGUCAGCUGCACAAAGGAAUAGACAUGGUAUAGAGGUGUGGUGGCUGUAUUGUUAUGUACAAGUCAGUUUUGACUGGUGGUGAUACUCUGAAUGAGACACUUCCAAGAAACCUUGUUACCAAACCUGUCCAGAUGUUGCAAACUCAGGGAGGACAUGAUUUCCUUGACUGAGGGAUGAAACACAUGGUCAAAAUGAAGAGGCUUCCAGCCACUUUAGAGGUGUUUAGAUGAUGCAUGCCUCCAAAGCAUCCAGAAGCUACGUUGCUUAAGACCUAAGUAAAAAGGAACCAGAAUAAUCCAGCUCCUGGUGGCUCAGGUUGGUCCCUGCAUGCACAUCCCUCUUUUUGAGUGGGCUGUGGUCAGCGGGUUUCAACCUGCUUCUGUUGGGAGUGGACUUGGGCUGCUCUUUCCUGCCCAUCUGUUCCAGCCCUGAGUCAAUCCAUGUUCCUCAUUUCCUAUUGCUCUCAACUUUACCAAGCAUUGCAAUCUUUUCCAUUGUUGAUGGUUACCUAGUGUAUGAUGGAAGAUGUGUAUUGAAUGUACUAAAAUGUGCUUUUUAAAAAAAGUUAACACAUACACCCAUCAUAAAUGUUUGGGCAAAAAUUCUACAACCAGAAUACUGAAUUUUCAGCCUGCAUUUCAGUGCAGUCUGAAUUAUUGGCCAUUGCCUCUCAAGACCAAACAAUAAUGUAUGUCAUAUCUAUCACCCUUGUGCCUCCUACUUCAAGGUGAAAUGCUCUUAGGGGAAGGAACUGAUACUUUUCAUGGGAA
Molecule: long non-coding RNA, 2253 nt
Organism: Sceloporus undulatus (fence lizard)
Lineage: Eukaryota; Metazoa; Chordata; Lepidosauria; Squamata; Phrynosomatidae
Exons: 3
Source: RefSeq, a predicted model, not a curated record